This is a non-coding RNA of Cyanistes caeruleus (blue tit), 3186 nucleotides long. NCBI's taxonomy places the organism in Eukaryota, Metazoa, Chordata, Aves, Passeriformes, Paridae. The record is from RefSeq and is a predicted model, not a curated record.
CUCCUCAGCUUUCAUCCAACUAAAGUGGAUAAACACGGGAAGAGAGGAACCGAAGGUUGUAUACGCCCAGGGGCACACAUACUCAUUGAGUGGAAAUAGGACCACUGUGCAGAUAACACAAGAAUCCCUGGACAGAAGGAAAGGUAGGUGGAAAAACCCUUCAGCUUGCUUGAGAGAGCACUCCUGGACCCCAACCCUUUUUUCUGAAUUAUUCUGCCUUUUACACAGAUCCUAGACUAAAAUUAACAAUUACGUGUGUAUAUAAACCCUCUAGGACCAGAACUCAGUGCACUUCCUGGCCUAUGACAAUUAGUGAUACUUUUUUGGAAAGUGGGAGAUAAGACAUUAAAUCUAUUCCAAAUGCAACUGCAUGAAAUGCAACAUCAGAACCUUCAUCAGAGUCACUUGGAAAGCAUCAGCCCUACCAUGGUAGUGUGAGACCAAUCAUUUAGUUAACAUUAAAGAAAGCAAAUAAAAAAGCCCAUAGUAUAUAUCUUGAUGUAUCUUACCUUAGCUUUUAAUCUUUUACUUCAUUAGACUUGGAAGAAGUGGAAUCCCAUGAAAAAUAAAUUUCUGCAAGGAUGAAGAUUUUUCUUCAAAGGGAGUUUGAAAGAUUAUGAUUAUGUCACUUACUGAAAAGUGAUACAACUGAAGCAGCACACAAGUACUGAAUAUGUUUACUCACUCUAAGUCAUUGUAAGAGGACAUUUUGUAUUUGUUUCACAGUGGAAACAAAGCCAGAUGAAUUAAACCUCAAAAAAGCACUGUAAAUAAAACCCCUUCUCACAAUGUCUGCAGAAUUCACAACUGCAAAGCUGAGGCAGAAUAUGGAUUACUCCAUAAACUAAUUCUUAAUUCAUGUAAAAAUACACAUAAGUGGACUUUUUAUUUGCAGGCUGUAAGGAAUAGAAGUAUAUCAACAAGAAUAAAAAUGUACAGAAGUUUUCAAAACCUUUUUUAGGGGAAAAAAAACCAAAACAGAAACAAACAAGAAAACAAACAGUCCAUGUUAUAGGAUGUUUUCCCUCACAUGUGUUCUGACACUAGCACAUGGAAAGUAAAGGACCACUUUAACCAGCACAUUCUGAGUUUUAUUUUAAAAUCCUUAGAUAAGUGUUAGGUGAAUUUCAACUUACAUACAACUUUUGCCUUAAAUAAAAAUAAUUACAAGCUUUUGUUCUGUAAUUUUGGGUAAACAGAAAGCUGGUAAGCAAACAAACUUUAGUGAAAAAAACCCAACAGUUCUGUACAAGAUUCCAUUUUGGAAUUUUUAUUUUAGACACAAUUAAGGGUUUCUUUUUAGAUUAAAACCAUUUCAUAGAGUAAUUUUCAUGCAACAGAGUAAACUUUUUUCCUAUGCUGUUUGACAGCACAGGAGAUAAAUGUUCACAUGAACAAGCUGUUAACCAUGAAUGCAAAUAACACUAUGAACUUUAAAGAAAGUAUUUCAACAACAACAGUUAUGGUUCUUGGGACACCAGCAAGGUGUGUAAACCGAAGUGUUUUGGAAAUAUUUUAGUUGCAGCAAGAGUAACACCAAAAUAUUUCCAUUUUUGCUGACAACACAUGGAGCACCUAUCAGUUCUAGAAGUGAUUCUGGAAAUGACACCAUCACCUGCACCAAGCUUAGUAAUUAAUUACCAGAUACAUUUAAAAGAUUCUCAAUUAUUCUUAAGGUUUUGAAAUUUAAACCGGAGUACAAGUAGAGUAAAUAUUAGAAAAUUCCUUAUUAUUGUCCUGUCUUGUUACAGAAGAACAUUUUAUAAUACCUAUCUCAUGCAUCUGUAUCUUCCAAAACCUCACUGAAUCAAUAUGCUUUACAGGUUUAGGCAUAAAUUCUGUUUCAAAGAAAAAAAAAAUCAGAAGCUAAGACCUGAAUUAUUUUAAGCUGGCUUCACCAGCCACUGAAAUAGUAUAACAUCUGUCUUGCACAAAAUUAUAUAAUUUAUUUCAAUAUUCUUACAAGCCUCUAAUUAUACAAUCAAUUUAUUUUCCACAUCAAACAAUUUAAGAAACCUUAUAUACAUAAGAAAUUAUUGUAGAUAUCUUACAUGGUAACUUAUCAAGUAUUCAGAUAGAUGUGUGUACUGCCUUUCACUCUGCCUGUGACAUUACUUUCCUCCUAUUUCAUCAACAAUUAAACUGACUUACAAAUACAGUUGUUCAAACGGUAGAAGACAAAAAUAAAAAGUAAAAAACUUUUUUUUUUUGUGGUCCUCAGAAUUACUGAAAAUGCCUUUGGAUUUUGCCAUAAAUAUUCAAACGGCAUAUGAAAUUAAAAUCUCAGAAAUUUGGAUGUACAAAUCAGUAGCUCCUGAGUUACAGUGUAGAAGCAUUUUGGGCAAUCAGUUGUAACACGGAUGUAUAGAAGGAACUUUCUCAAAUACUCAAGUAAAAAAAAUGUAUUAUAGCAAAUGCUAUUGUUCUAACACAUGCUUCAGGUUAUGUUUUUAAAUUCCACCUAAAAGCAAUAGGUUCAUGCUGCCAUUUCAUGAAGCUGUGUUACAAAGAGUAAUUAACACUGAAUAGCUACAAAAGCAUUUCCUAUUUUCAAGUAAACUGUACAAACCCAUCAGCAGAGCACUGUGCCUCACUGGAAUAUGUCUUCACAACCUUGUGGUGUCAUGGGGGACUGUAACACUGCAUUUACAGCAACACUGAUGUUAUUUUUUUCUUUUUUUCAUAUAAUCAAUAAAAAUUUUACAAAAAUAUAGCCAACAAACAUAAAAGCAUGCUGCAAAUUCAGUUCUGCCUAGAGACAGCACUUUGCAAUUACAGCUAUAGAAGCCAAGCAUUUGGAAGCUAUGGCUGUGCAUUCCUUACACAACCACAUAGUCACAACUGUGUAUUGCCACAAACUUCUCUUUGUGAGGGGCAAAAGAUGGAAAGUGCACUUUUAAUCAACUGGAGAAUAGAACUAUUUUUUUUCAGCAUGACAUCAUGUCAUACAUUAGCAUUCACAUGCUAAGCUAAGAAUUUCAUGUCUUGUAGUAAUCUUUAUAAUUCAGUAAUACUGAGCAAAUGCCACUGCAUCUCCUAAUAGAUUUUGUAUUUUGUAGAACUAUAUUUAUCGUAACUUCAUGCUAUUAAUUUUCUCUGGUCUGCAUUAUGAGGUCUCAGAAGUAACAGCCUGAAAGUGCCCUGGGCACAGGGACACAUUAACAACCAAAACUAAAAAAAAAAAAA